UGUGGUUAGCGGUGAAAUGCCAAUCGAACUCGGAGAUAGCUGGUUCUCCUCGAAACAGUUUUAGGACUGGCGUCAUGUGGUAGCAGUCGGGGGUAGAGCUCUGUAAAGGACUGGGGGGAGCAAUCCUACCCACCCUUAACAAACUACGAAUACCGGCUGUGGAAUCAUGGCAGUUAGAACGGCGGAGCUAAGUUCGUCGCUCAAAAGGGAAACAGCCCAGACCAUCGUCUAAGGUCCCUAAAUUUACGUUAAGUGGGAAACAAGGUGAGAUUUCUUAAACAGCUAGGAUGUUGGCUUAGAAGCAGCCAUUCAUUUAAAGAGUGCGUAACAGCUCACUAGUCAAGAGAUCUUGCGUGGAAAAUGUAACGGGGCUAAACGUAAUACCGAAGACAUGGGUCUAUGCAUUAGCAUGGGCGGUAGAGGAGCGUUCCUAUCGGCAGUGAAGCAGUAUUGUAAAGUGCUGUGGAGCGGUAGGAAGUGAGAAUGCUGGAAUGAGUAACCAUAAGAGAGGUGAGAAUCCUCUCGGCCGUAAGAGCAAGGUUUCCUGAGCUAUGGUAAUCAUCUCAGGGUUAGUCGGGCCUAAGCCGAGGCGCAUAGCGUAGGCGAUGGACAUCAGGUUGAUAUUCCUGAACCGGCGUAGUUUGUACACUGUUCACGGAGAGAUAUUCAGAGCGGAUUCAUGGUUUAUCCGUCCAACCUAGCGGGAACGCAAAGGGAGUGAAAGUUACUCUGCGGAGUGAUGAUUCUGGAAAAGGCUCUGGCUAGAAAAGCAGGUGUACGCGUGGCUAUGUCCGCCCGUACCGCAAACCAACACAGGUGCUCGAGUCGAGUAGACUCAGGCUUACGAGAGAACCUUCGCUAAGGAACUCGGCAAUACAGCGACCGUAACUUCGGAAUAAGGUCUGCCCCCACUUCGGUGGAUAUGUUGUCAGUUUCAUAGCUCUAUAAGGUGUGGUUAAAGAGUAUCUUUAAUACAUCAAUUCUUCUUGAGAUAGAACCAAGCUUUGGAACUGAAGCUCAACACAUCUAGCGAUGUGGGGGCCGCAGCAAAAGAGCCCACGGAACUGUUUAUCAAAAACACAGCUCUCUGCUAACACGAAAGUGGAUGUAUAGGGGGUGACUCCUGCCCGGUGCUGGAAGGUUAAGGGGAGUGCUUUACGGUGCGAACUGAAGCCCCAGUGAACGGCGGCGGUAACUAUAACCGUCCUAAGGUAGCGAAAUUCCUUGUCAGGUAAGUUCUGACCCGCACGAAUGGAGUAAUCAUGUGGGCACUGUCUCAGCGAAGGACUCGGUGAAAGUGCAUUGGCGGUAAAGAUGCCGUCUGUCCAUACCAGGACGAGAAGACCCCAUGGAGCUUUACUACAGCUUUACAUUGAAUACGGUUUCAACAUGUGUAGCAUAGGUGGGAGACUUUGAAGCAGAUACGCCAGUAUUUGUGGAGUUACCAAGUGAAAUACCACCCUUGUUGUGAUUGUGUUCUCACGCUGACCGUUAUCCGGUUAGCGGACCGUGUAUGGUGGGUAGUUUAACUGGGGCGGUUGCCUCCUAAAGAGUAGCGG
This 1559-nucleotide ribosomal RNA is filed under the name human metagenome. Its description in RNAcentral is "bacterial LSU rRNA". It matches the Rfam family "Bacterial large subunit ribosomal RNA", at positions 810 to 2303 of the family's 2925-position model. The record is from RNAcentral.